Molecule: non-coding RNA, 127 nt
Organism: Pomacea canaliculata
Lineage: Eukaryota; Metazoa; Mollusca; Gastropoda; Architaenioglossa; Ampullariidae
Product: small Cajal body-specific RNA 8
Exons: 1
Source: RefSeq, a predicted model, not a curated record
AGGAGACCAGAUACACUGUCACAUUGAAAGUCAAGUGACGGUCCCUUGUGUCUCCUAUAACACCAUGGCCUUCUGGUGACUGCAGAGAGUCAAGCUGACUCUGCGGACAGAUACGAGGUCGACAUAC